RNAcentral lists this small nuclear RNA (170 nucleotides) under Bombyx mandarina (wild silkworm). RNAcentral's name for it is "U1 spliceosomal RNA". The record is from RNAcentral. Lineage: Eukaryota; Metazoa; Arthropoda; Insecta; Lepidoptera; Bombycidae.
AUACUAACUUGGCGUAGGGGAUACCGUGAUCAUUCAGGCGGUUCCCACUGGGCGAGGCUCCCCCAUGGCACUGCGGAGUGGUUAACCCUUGCGAUUAUUUUUAUUUUUAUCAAUAAAAAAAUCAUAAUAAAAAUUGUAUACCCGAAUAAAUAAUAAAUAUUUUCUUUAUA